CACGUAGGGCGCGAGCGUUGCCCGGAAUUAUUGGGCGUAAAGAGCUCGUAGGCGGCCUGUUGCGUCCGCUGUGAAAGCCCGGGGCUUAACCCCGGGUCGGCAGUGGAUACGGGCAGGCUAGAGGUAGGUAGGGGAGAAUGGAAUUCCCGGUGUAGCGGUGAAAUGCGCAGAUAUCGGGAGGAACACCGGUGGCGAAGGCGGUCCUCUGGGCCUUACCUGACGCUGAGGAGCGAAAGCGUGGGGAGCGAACAGG
This 253-nucleotide ribosomal RNA is filed under the name uncultured bacterium. Its description in RNAcentral is "partial 16S ribosomal RNA". It matches the Rfam family "Bacterial small subunit ribosomal RNA", at positions 524 to 776 of the family's 1533-position model. The record is from RNAcentral.